GAUGAACGCUGGCGGCGUGCCUAAUACAUGCAAGUCGAGCGAACAGACGAGGAGCUUGCUCCUCUGACGUUAGCGGCGGACGGGUGAGUAACACGUGGAUAACCUACCUAUAAGACUGGGAUAACUUCGGGAAACCGGAGCUAAUACCGGAUAAUAUAUUGAACCGCAUGGUUCAAUAGUGAAAGACGGUUUUGCUGUCACUUAUAGAUGGAUCCGCGCCGCAUUAGCUAGUUGGUAAGGUAACGGCUUACCAAGGCAACGAUGCGUAGCCGACCUGAGAGGGUGAUCGGCCACACUGGAACUGAGACACGGUCCAGACUCCUACGGGAGGCAGCAGUAGGGAAUCUUCCGCAAUGGGCGAAAGCUUGACGGAGCAACGCCGCGUGAGUGAUGAAGGUCUUCGGAUCGUAAAACUCUGUUAUUAGGGAAGAACAAAUGUGUAAGUAACUAUGCACGUCUUGACGGUACCUAAUCAGAAAGCUACGGCUAACUACGUG
RNAcentral lists this ribosomal RNA (497 nucleotides) under uncultured bacterium. Its description in RNAcentral is "partial 16S ribosomal RNA". It matches the Rfam family "Bacterial small subunit ribosomal RNA", at positions 28 to 507 of the family's 1533-position model. The record is from RNAcentral.